CCUACGGGAGGCAGCAGUGAGGAAUAUUGGUCAAUGGCCGGAAGGCUGAACCAGCCAUGCCGCGUGAAGGUCAGUGCCCUAUGGGCGUUAAACUUCUUUUGUGCGGGAGCAAUAAUGGUCACUUGUUGCCAAACGAGAGUACCGUACGAAUAAGCAUCGGCCAACUCCGUGCCAGCAGCCGCGGUAAUACGGAGGAUCCGAGCGUUAUCCGGAUUUAUUGGGUGUAAAGGGAGCGUAGAUGGGUUGUUAAGUCGGAUGUGAAAGUUUGCGGCUCAACCGUAAAAUUGCAAUUGAUACUGGCAGUCUUGAGUACAGUUGAGGUCGGCGGAAUUCGUGGUGUAGCGGUGAAAUGCUUAGAUAUCACGAAGAACCCCGAUUGCGAAGGCAGCUUACUAGACUGUGACUGACAUUGAUGCUCGAAAGUGUGGGUAUCAAACAGGAUUAGAUACCCCAGUAGUC
This 459-nucleotide ribosomal RNA is filed under the name uncultured bacterium. RNAcentral describes it as "partial 16S ribosomal RNA". It matches the Rfam family "Bacterial small subunit ribosomal RNA", at positions 338 to 795 of the family's 1533-position model. The record is from RNAcentral.